GUCUUAGCUUCUGCUGGACAUAUACUAAAAUUGGAACGAUUGAGAGAAGAUUAGCAUGGCCCUUUAAGUCACUAUAAAAAUCAAUAAAAAAAUAGCAUGGCCCCUGCGCAAGGAUGAGAAUCAAGGCAUAGCAACGCCUAAAUUUAUG
Molecule: small nuclear RNA, 148 nt
Organism: Anopheles gambiae (African malaria mosquito)
Lineage: Eukaryota; Metazoa; Arthropoda; Insecta; Diptera; Culicidae
Source: RefSeq, a predicted model, not a curated record